Long non-coding RNA from Mus musculus (house mouse), 3258 nucleotides. RefSeq annotates it as predicted gene 12536. NCBI's taxonomy places the organism in Eukaryota, Metazoa, Chordata, Mammalia, Rodentia, Muridae. The record is from RefSeq and is a predicted model, not a curated record. The transcript is spliced from 3 exons.
UUCCGGGCGCGCUCUCUCCCUGCACAACGCAGCAGUGUCACACCGCAAGUUACCAGAGAAGCCACCCCGGUCGCCCGCGGAACGGGGCGGAUUGGUUUGGCACUGGAGUUCGUGCCAGGCCCAGGAAAUGCCAUCUUUGCAAUCUGAAGGGGAAUUCGCCCCGGGUGGCUGAGCUUCGGGGACCGCGGAGAGCUGGAUCCCCGCAGCGGUGCGCCCCCUCUGCCGGGCUGCGGAUACCUCGGCGCCAAGCCCAGGGCUCGGCCAGACUGGAGCGCACGCCCACGCCCGCGCCGCUGCGUCCAGAACGCCCAGCCUUUUGCCGCCCACGCCCGCGCCCCGCCCCAGCCCCGCCAGGUGAUCCGGGCCUGCGCCCCCCGGAUGCCCGACGUGGCGCGGAGACCUGGGGCUACCAGCUCAACCGCUAGUCCUCCCGCGUGUCCGCCGAGCCCCGGACCGGGUGGGGGUUGGGUAAGCCCCGCGUGUCCGCGAUCGCAGCAGCCCGCGCUCCGACCCUCCCCGCAGAGGACCCAGUCUCCCAUACCUGCAGCAUCCGGGGGCGCGGGGCGCCCAGGUAGUGCACCGCUGCAGGCGCCGCCAGAACCUCGCGUCCGGGGAAUUCCUACAGAGCCCGGAGUCCUAGGGGUUGCACUGUCCUGGCCCCGCCUAGGAUCGCACGCAAAACCUGGAGCUCGGGCGCCAGGGCAGCACUUUUCGGAGUGGCGGGGAGAGCACUGGGCAUGCUCGGAGCCAUGGGAGCCCAGCGUCCGGAAGGAAGAACCCCCAGAGGGAUUGGCGAAGCUGCCCACUGAGUCCCACCUGGCCGUCAGUCUUCUACUUCCCUGCAGGGAGUACUGGGUCACCCUCCUCCCCCAAGCAUGGUGGGAAGACUUGAAAUUCAGAGACAGCUGACUGAACACAGUGUCCUCUACCAGCUGCUGUGUGAUCUGCUACCAAAGCCUUGCGCUCUCUGUGCCCUAAAUAAUACAAAUGCCUACGCUUGGAUCCGGGGGAGUGUGGGGAAUUGAAAAAAAAAAAAAAAAAGAAAGAACGGGAAUUUAUUCAGUCCACCUUAAAUGUUUUUUCCCCUUGAUGAGGCUUGAAUCCAGGGCUUUGCACACAGUAAGCACGAAUGUCUUCCAGUGAACUAAGCCCUGUCCCAGACUCAUUUCUUAAGUGCCUAUCUCAAUCAUUCAUCCAUCAUCCUUUAACACUUUUUGGACUGCUAAGGUGAGGGACCUGGGAAUUGUUAGAACUGUCCAGUUUAAAUAAAGCCUGCUGGAAUACAUCGUUACCAUUUCUUUGCUGUCACUGCUUAAAGCAGUGUUCUCAGAUUUGAGCUGGAAAAUAGCUGAGAACUUCAUUGAAAAGCUCUAAAAGUUAUUUUUUAACGAAUUAAAUUUUUUUUUUGUUCGCUUUUCGAGACAAGUGCUUCUCUGUGUACCCCUGGCUUCUUCUGGAACUCACUCUUAUACAUGCCCAACUGGAAACAAGUGGAUGUUCAAAGGAGAAGCAGCCAAUCCUGGUACACUUGGGGGAGCAUUUAUACAUGAAGGAAGCCUGAAACCUUGGAGAAAGAGGCAGACAACAAAUUAGAGAUUAUCAUUGAGGGCUGGGACAAGAGCCUUCUCCAGCACCCCCAGGAAGGACUCCAUCUCCUGUCAGAGAUGACCAGUUUCCUGGCAGCUAAAGGCACCUGUCAACAUAUCCAAAGGUAAAUGCUGAUCAUGGCCUACUUGACAGUGAUUACAGACUCAAAUAAAAAGUUGAAAAUCAUGGAGCAGCUGUCCCUGACAAGAAAGGCAGCCGGACCUCCAGACUGUCCUUAUAGGGAGAGAGAGCAUUGACCAUUUCUCUCAGGAUGCUUGCGCCUUCAGGAACCCCUGAGGCCCCUCAGGCAUGAAUCUUAGAACAGAUAAAACCAGACCAUACUAGACCCUAUGAAUUUGCUGCUGUUUGGGAAAGCAAAAGUGUAAGUUGAAGGACUUUGGAGACCUGCUCUGGAAACCUAAUGUAUUGAGGUUUUAGAAACCGAGACAGAGAAACCAGAGGAAGGAAGCCUCAUCUAUGCAUGGCUGUCAUGUUUAAGCAGUGAUCCCUCCUGAAAUGGGUACUAUCACUUUCCAGCGCCCAGAGAGAAUGGUUUCUCAAGGUUCCCAGCCAUACUCUAACCUCACCAAGCAAAAGGGCAGAGGGGAAAGGAAGAGGAGAUGGAGGCGGGCUAUCCCCUACAGACAAGACUCCCAGAUGUCAUGCUUUCUCUGCCCUUGACCUUGGCUCCCUCUUCUGAGGCCAAUAGCAGCUAAUCAUGUGACAGGAGAGGAGGGAGUGAUGAGGGUAGUAGUCACAGGGGUGAUGUUUGUUAAGGGGAGUGGACCUUAAAAUAAACUUAUUAAAGUACGUAGGAUACACAGAAAAACAGCUCAGAGAGGCCCUUGCCUCGGUAGGAGGAACCCUACCAGUCAGUGAAGGGAGGGUGAAUGUUUUACCAUUUACACUAAACGUUUUGGUGUCUUCUGAAUUUUGUACCACGUGAUCUCUAGCCUAUUUAACAAUAAAGGUGUUGUAUUUCUGGGGAAAACAAUUGUGGAAGAAUGUGUAAAUUUUGUGUGUGUGUGUGCAAAAAUAUUUUGCUUUUUGUUUCCACUACCCAACAGCAAAGCGCUGGUUGUUUGACAUGCCAAGGCUACAUCAGGGCACAGUCAUGGAGAGGGUGCUGGAAGGGUGCCCUGCCUCAAGCCCUCUUAACCCUCACUGGAAACUCACAUGGUUGAAGGGUGGAACAGGAAACAGAGCUUUGGAUGAGGAUAAAAGAGAAAGGAAAAUGGCCACAGUCACCUCGGGGGCAGGAACGAUGUUUUCCUGACAUAGCUGGUCCAGCCCCGUGGUGGGAGAAGCCAGUGGGAGAACUUCGGUGCCCAGGCCUCAGUGGGAACUCACAUUCAGGCAGCGACAUCGCCUGAGAACUCAGCUCUUUUGGCUUUCCAGUUCAUCCCUGAGACACCAGAAACUUGAUCUGUGCCCAGAGCGCUCCACCUCCUGGUGACAUUUCAAGAACAGAGCCGCUGCUGGGCUGCCCAGUGCUCUGGCGACCUUCUAGCGUAGCUCGGAUGACACAUCACAGGAUUUCCUCAACUGCGCCCUGGCGUCCUGCUGGGAUGGCUUUUUCAUUUUUUCCAUGGGACACGCAUCCAUUGCAUCUCGGUACAAACAGGCUGUCCAGCGGUGCCUCUGUAAACACGAGUCACGUGUGGAGUUAAA